This 396-nucleotide ribosomal RNA is filed under the name uncultured bacterium. RNAcentral describes it as "bacterial SSU rRNA". It matches the Rfam family "Bacterial small subunit ribosomal RNA", at positions 505 to 898 of the family's 1533-position model. The record is from RNAcentral.
GUGUCAGCAGCCGCGGUAAUACGGAGGGGGCAAGCGUUGUUCGGAUUUACUGGGCGUAAAGGGUGUGUAGGCGGCCGCGCAAGUCUGGUGUGAAAUCUCCGACGCUUAACGUGGAGGGGUCACUGGAAACUGCGCGGCUCGAGUAUGGUAGAGGCAAGCGGAAUUCCUGGUGUAGCGGUGGAAUGUGUAGAUAUCAGGAAGAACACCGGUGGCGAAGGCGGCUUGCUGGGCCAUCACUGACGCUGAGACACGAAAGCGUGGGGAGCAAACGGGAUUAGAUACCCCGGUAGUCCACGCUGUAAACGGUGCGCACUAGUUGUGGGAGGUAUCGACCCCUCCUGUGACGAAGUCAACACAUUAAGUGCGCCGCCUGGGGAGUACGGCCGCAAGGUUGAA